ACUCAGGCGUUGGAAAUGCCUCAUAGAUUAAUUGUAUUGUUUCCUUUACUCAUAGAACUACCUGUUAGAUCUGUGGGAAAGAACUUCAAGACAGAG
Molecule: small nucleolar RNA, 96 nt
Filed under: Tursiops truncatus (common bottlenose dolphin)
Lineage: Eukaryota; Metazoa; Chordata; Mammalia; Artiodactyla; Delphinidae
Source: RNAcentral